CAAGGAAUUUUCCGCAAUGGGCGAAAGCCUGACGGAGCAACGCCGCGUGCAGGAAGACGGCCUUCGGGUUGUAAACUGCUUUUGCCGGGGAAGAUAUAGACGGUACCCGGCGAAUAAGCCCCGGCUAACUCCGUGCCAGCAGCCGCGGUAAGACGGAGGGGGCAAGCGUUGUCCGGACUCACUGGGCGUAAAGGGCGCGCAGGCGGUCCUAUGCGUCGGCGCUGAAAGCGCCCGGCUUAACCGGGCGAGGUGCGUCGAUACGAUAGGACUAGAGGCAGUAUGAGGCUGGCGGAAUUCCGGGUGUAGUGGUGAAAUGCGUAGAGAUCCGGAGGAACGCCCAGGGGGAAACCAGCAUACUGGACAGGACCUGACACUCAGGUGCGACAGCGUGGGGAGCGAACCGGAUUAGAUACCCGUGUAGUCC
RNAcentral lists this ribosomal RNA (424 nucleotides) under uncultured prokaryote. Its description in RNAcentral is "bacterial SSU rRNA". It matches the Rfam family "Bacterial small subunit ribosomal RNA", at positions 355 to 796 of the family's 1533-position model. The record is from RNAcentral.